Molecule: ribosomal RNA, 316 nt
Filed under: uncultured eukaryote
Lineage: Eukaryota
Description: partial 18S ribosomal RNA
Rfam family: Eukaryotic small subunit ribosomal RNA
Source: RNAcentral
CCCUUAGAUGUUCUGGGCUGCACGCGCGCUACACUGAUGCACUCAACGAGUUUACAACCUUAUCCGGAAGGAUUGGGUAAUCUUUUGAACGUGCAUCGUGAUGGGGAUAGAUUAUUGCAAUUAUUAAUCUUCAACGAGGAAUUCCUAGUAAACGCAAGUCAUCAACUUGCAUUGAUUACGUCCCUGCCCUUUGUACACACCGCCCGUCGCACCUACCGAUUGAAUGGUCCGGUGAAGCCUCCGGAUUGGCGCGCACCUCGGUGCCGCCGAGAAGUUGGCUAAACCUUACCAUUUAGAGGAAGGUGAAGUCGUAACA